CAGAAGUUCAAGACCUUGAUUUCAAGAACUUAAUUUGACCACAAUAUUCAGAGCUUUUUGCUCUGUGACCUAUGGCUGUAAUGAUACACCAAAAUAUGGUUAUAAGAAGCUGCAGAAACUAAAAUCACGAUGCUAACCAGUUAAGAUUGUUUGGCACAAUCAAAACUCAAUUAUAAGAACUCUCCACUAGUGCACUAGUUGUAUUUGAGCCACCGUCCCAUCCCAUUGGUGCCUUCUCUUCUGUAACUGAGAAGCUAUUUGAAGACGAUCUUUGAGCUACAGGAAGUACCAUAGCUGAAGCAUCUGUAUUGCUGUCCUCGUGAGGCAUUCUAUGCACUGCAGUUUGUUGUAGCUGCAAUGCAUAUUCCAAGUCCCAGCACACAUCAAGCAUUGUAGGCCGCUCAGCUCCUUCCAGCUUCAAACACUUCUCAACUAUUUCACCAAACUUUCUCAAUGAAGGGGGGUUAAUAUGACCCACCAGUAAAGGAUCGAUAACUUUUUCGAGUUCCCCUCUCUUUUGCCAAAACAAUCCCCAUUCAGCUAAGUUUAUUUCCUCCCUCUGAGAUGAAUUUACAAUGGGUGGUCGAGCGCAAAGCACUUCCAGAAGUACCACACCGAAAGAGUACGCAUCGGAUUUAUGUGUCAACUGAAGCGUUCUGAAAUAUUCAGGAUCAAGAUAACCAAAACUACCU
This 692-nucleotide unclassified non-coding RNA is filed under the name Hevea brasiliensis (rubber tree). Lineage: Eukaryota; Viridiplantae; Streptophyta; Magnoliopsida; Malpighiales; Euphorbiaceae. The record is from RNAcentral.